Molecule: ribosomal RNA, 947 nt
Filed under: Salmonella enterica subsp. enterica serovar Typhimurium
Lineage: Bacteria; Pseudomonadati; Pseudomonadota; Gammaproteobacteria; Enterobacterales; Enterobacteriaceae
Description: partial 23S ribosomal RNA
Rfam family: Bacterial large subunit ribosomal RNA
Source: RNAcentral
AACCGACUAAUGUUGAAAAAUUAGCGGAUGACCUGUGGCUGGGGGUGAAAGGCCAAUCAAACCGGGAGAUAGCUGGUUCUCCCCGAAAGCUAUUUAGGUAGCGCCUCGUGAAUUCAUCUCCGGGGGUAGAGCACUGUUUCGGCUAGGGGGCCAUCCCGGCUUACCAACCCGAUGCAAACUGCGAAUACCGGAGAAUGUUAUCACGGGAGACACACGGCGGGUGCUAACGUCCGUCGUGAAGAGGGAAACAACCCAGACCGCCAGCUAAGGUCCCAAAGUCAUGGUUAAGUGGGAAACGAUGUGGGAAGGCCCAGACAGCCAGGAUGUUGGCUUAGAAGCAGCCAUCAUUUAAAGAAAGCGUAAUAGCUCACUGGUCGAGUCGGCCUGCGCGGAAGAUGUAACGGGGCUAAACCAUGCACCGAAGCUGCGGCAGCGAACGUAUCACCCAAGACAACUUUACGGAGUUGACGAUUGACGGAGCGAAGCGACGUCAAAGCGUUCAUUAAAGUCGAGUUGGCUUAGGGAUACGUUCGUUGGGUAGGGGAGCGUUCUGUAAGCCUGUGAAGGUGUGUCGUGAGGCAUGCUGGAGGUAUCAGAAGUGCGAAUGCUGACAUAAGUAACGAUAAAGCGGGUGAAAAGCCCGCUCGCCGGAAGACCAAGGGUUCCUGUCCAACGUUAAUCGGGGCAGGGUGAGUCGACCCCUAAGGCGAGGCCGAAAGGCGUAGUCGAUGGGAAACGGGUUAAUAUUCCCGUACUUGGUGUUACUGCGAAGGGGGGACGGAGAAGGCUAUGUUGGCCGGGCGACGGUUGUCCCGGUUUAAGCGUGUAGGUGUGUGUUCCAGGUAAAUCCGGUUCACUUUAACACUGAGGCGUGACGACGAGGCACUACGGUGCUGAAGCAACAAAUGCCCUGCUUCCAGGAAAAGCCUCUAAGCAUCAGGUAACAC